Molecule: ribosomal RNA, 427 nt
Filed under: uncultured bacterium
Lineage: Bacteria
Description: bacterial SSU rRNA
Rfam family: Bacterial small subunit ribosomal RNA
Source: RNAcentral
GCAAGGAAUCUUCCGCAAUGGGCGAAAGCCUGACGGAGCAACGCCGCGUGGGGGAUGAAGCCUUUCGGGGUGUAAACCUCUUUUCUCGGGGACGAAGAUCUGACGGUACCCGAGGAAUAAGGACCGGCUAACUACGUGCCAGCAGCCGCGGUAAUACGUAGGGUCCGAGCGUUGUCCGGAGUUACUGGGCGUAAAGCGCGCGCAGGUGGCGUCGCAAGUCUGGCGUGAAAGCCCCCGGCUCAACCGGGGAGGGUCGUCGGAUACUGCGGUGCUUGAGGGAGGCAGGGGUCGGUGGAAUGCCCGGUGUAGUGGUGAAAUGCGUAGAGAUCGGGCGGAACACCCGUGGCGAAGGCGGCCGACUGGGCCUAACCUGACACUGAGGCGCGAAGGCGUGGGGAGCGAACGGGAUUAGAAACCCCGGUAGUCC